Molecule: ribosomal RNA, 70 nt
Filed under: Climacostomum virens
Lineage: Eukaryota; Ciliophora; Heterotrichea; Heterotrichida; Climacostomidae
Description: partial Eukaryotic small subunit ribosomal RNA
Source: RNAcentral
UAAAAGGCAAGACUGAGUCUAGGUGCUUAGUAAGCUAGUAAGUCGUUACUUGAAAGAUGUGACUUCACAU